This 386-nucleotide ribosomal RNA is filed under the name uncultured bacterium. RNAcentral's name for it is "bacterial SSU rRNA". It matches the Rfam family "Bacterial small subunit ribosomal RNA", at positions 30 to 412 of the family's 1533-position model. The record is from RNAcentral.
AUUGAACGCUGGCGGCAUGCUUUACACAUGCAAGUCGAACGGCAGCACGGGUGCUUGCACUUGGUGGCGAGUGGCGGACGGGUGAGUAAUGCAUCGGAACGUGUCCUGAAGUGGGGGAUAACGCAUCGAAAGAUGUGCUAAUACCGCAUAUUCUCUGAGGAGGAAAGUAGGGGAUCGAAAGACCUUAUGCUUUUGGAGCGGCCGAUGUCUGAUUAGCUAGUUGGUAGGGUAAUGGCUUACCAAGGCGACGAUCAGUAGUUGGUCUGAGAGGACGACCAGCCACACGUGGGACUGAGACACGGCCCAGACUCCGUACGGGAGGCAGCAGUGGGAAUUUUGGACAAGUGGGCGCAAGCCUGAUCCAGCCAUGCCGCGUGAGUGAAGAA